Molecule: ribosomal RNA, 398 nt
Filed under: Batagur kachuga (red-crowned roofed turtle)
Lineage: Eukaryota; Metazoa; Chordata; Testudines; Geoemydidae
Description: partial 12S ribosomal RNA
Rfam family: Bacterial small subunit ribosomal RNA
Source: RNAcentral
GCUUAGCCCUAAACUCAGAUAUUCAACAUACAAGAAUACUCGCCAGAGAACUACGAGCAAAACGCUUAAAACUCAAAGGACUUGGCGGUACCUCAAACCCCCCUAGAGGAGCCUGUUCUAUAAUCGAUAAUCCACGAUAUACCUCACCAUCUCUUGCCAAUCCCGCCUAUAUACCACCGUCACCAGCCUACCCCAUGAGGGAUUUAAAAGUAAGCAAAAUAACUAAAAACAGCUAACAAGUCAGGUCAAGGUGUAGCUAACUGAGAUGGAAGAAAUGGGCUACAUUUUCUACACUAGAAAUCAAUUUACGGAAGGAAACUAUGAAAUCAGUCCUACAAGUAGGAUUUAGCAGUAAACCUGGAUCAGAAUGCCUAAUUUAAGCCGGUCCUGAGGUGCGC